GACGAACGCUGGCGGCGUGCCUAAUACAUGCAAGUAGAACGCUGAAGAGAGGAGCUUGCUCUUCUUGGAUGAGUUGCGAACGGGUGAGUAACGCGUAGGUAACCUGCCUUGUAGCGGGGGAUAACUAUUGGAAACGAUAGCUAAUACCGCAUAACAAUGGAUGACACAUGUCAUUUAUUUGAAAGGGGCAAUUGCUCCACUACAAGAUGGACCUGCGUUGUAUUAGCUAGUAGGUGAGGUAACGGCUCACCUAGGCGACGAUACAUAGCCGACCUGAGAGGGGGAUAGGCCACACUGGGACGGAGACACGGCCCAGACUCCUACGGGAGGCAGCAGGAGGGAAUCUUCGGCAAUGGGGGCAACCCUGACCGAGCAACGCCGCGUGAGUGAAGAAGGUUUUCGGAUCGUAAAGAUCUGUUGUAAGUCAAGAACGAGUGUGAGAGUGGAAAGUUCACACUGUGACGGUAGCUUACCAGAAAGGGACGGCUAACUACGUG
Molecule: ribosomal RNA, 497 nt
Filed under: uncultured bacterium
Lineage: Bacteria
Description: partial 16S ribosomal RNA
Rfam family: Bacterial small subunit ribosomal RNA
Source: RNAcentral